This 852-nucleotide ribosomal RNA is filed under the name Helminthosporium leptochloae. RNAcentral's name for it is "eukaryotic LSU rRNA". It matches the Rfam family "Eukaryotic large subunit ribosomal RNA", at positions 68 to 938 of the family's 3401-position model. The record is from RNAcentral. Lineage: Eukaryota; Fungi; Ascomycota; Dothideomycetes; Pleosporales; Massarinaceae.
ACAGGGAUUGCCCUAGUAACGGCGAGUGAAGCGGCAACAGCUCAAAUUUGAAAUCUGGCUCUUUCAGAGUCCGAGUUGUAAUUUGCAGAGGGCGCUUUGGCUUUGGCAGCGGUCCAAGUUCCUUGGAACAGGACGUCACAGAGGGUGAGAAUCCCGUACGUGGUCGCUAGCUAUUGCCGUGUAAAGCCCCUUCGACGAGUCGAGUUGUUUGGGAAUGCAGCUCUAAAUGGGAGGUAAAUUUCUUCUAAAGCUAAAUAUUGGCCAGAGACCGAUAGCGCACAAGUAGAGUGAUCGAAAGAUGAAAAGCACUUUGGAAAGAGAGUCAAACAGCACGUGAAAUUGUUGAAAGGGAAGCGCUUGCAGCCAGACUUGCUUGCAGUUGCUCAUCCGGGCUUUUGCCCGGUGCACUCUUCUGCAGGCAGGCCAGCAUCAGUUUGGGCGGUGGGAUAAAGGUCUCUGUCAUGUACCUCUCUUCGGGGAGGCCUUAUAGGGGAGGCGACAUACCACCAGCCUAGACUGAGGUCCGCGCAUCUGCUAGGAUGCUGGCGUAAUGGCUGUAAGCGGCCCGUCUUGAAACACGGACCAAGGAGUCUAACAUCUAUGCGAGUGUUUGGGUGUCAAGCCCGAGCGCGUAAUGAAAGUGAACGGAGGUGGGAACCCGCAAGGGUGCACCAUCGACCGAUCCUGAAGUUUACGGAAGGAUUUGAGUAAGAGCAUGGCUGUUGGGACCCGAAAGAUGGUGAACUAUGCUUGAAUAGGGUGAAGCCAGAGGAAACUCUGGUGGAGGCUCGCAGCGGUUCUGACGUGCAAAUCGAUCGUCAAAUUUGGGCAUAGGGGCGAAAGACUAAUCGA